GACGAACGCUGGCGGCGUGCUUAACACAUGCAAGUCGAACGGAAAGGCCCUGCUUUUGUGGGGUGCUCGAGUGGCGAACGGGUGAGUAACACGUGGGUAACCUGCCCUUGACUUUGGGAUAACUUCCGGAAACUGGGGCUAAUACCGGAUAGGAGCUCCUGCUGCAUGGUGGGGGUUGGACAGUUUCGGCGGCUGGGGAUGGACUCGCGGCUUAUCAGCUUGUUGGUGGGGUAGUGGCUUACCAAGGCUUCGACGGGUAGCCGGCCUGGGAGGGUGACCGGGCACAUUGGGACUGCGAGACGGCCCAGACUCGUACGGGAGGCAGCAGUGGGGAAUAUGGCACAAUGGGCGGAAGCCUGAUGCAGCAACGCCGCGUGCGGGAUGACGGCCUUCGGGUUGUAAACCGCUUUCGCCUGUGACGAAGCGUGAGUGACGGUAAUGGGUAAAGAAGCACCGGCUAACUACGUG
This 468-nucleotide ribosomal RNA is filed under the name uncultured bacterium. Its description in RNAcentral is "partial 16S ribosomal RNA". It matches the Rfam family "Bacterial small subunit ribosomal RNA", at positions 28 to 507 of the family's 1533-position model. The record is from RNAcentral.